RNAcentral lists this ribosomal RNA (854 nucleotides) under Escherichia coli. RNAcentral describes it as "partial 23S ribosomal RNA". It matches the Rfam family "Bacterial large subunit ribosomal RNA", at positions 1 to 888 of the family's 2925-position model. Lineage: Bacteria; Pseudomonadati; Pseudomonadota; Gammaproteobacteria; Enterobacterales; Enterobacteriaceae. The record is from RNAcentral.
GGGUUGUGAGGUUAAGCGACUAAGCGUACACGGUGGAUGCCCUGGCAGUCAGAGGCGAUGAAGGACGUGCUAAUCUGCGAUAAGCGUCGGUAAGGUGAUAUGAACCGUUAUAACCGGCGAUUUCCGAAUGGGGAAACCCAGUGUGUUUCGACACACUAUCAUUAACUGAAUCCAUAGGUUAAUGAGGCGAACCGGGGGAACUGAAACAUCUAAGUACCCCGAGGAAAAGAAAUCAACCGAGAUUCCCCCAGUAGCGGCGAGCGAACGGGGAGCAGCCCAGAGCCUGAAUCAGUGUGUGUGUUAGUGGAAGCGUCUGGAAAGGCGCGCGAUACAGGGUGACAGCCCCGUACACAAAAAUGCACAUGCUGUGAGCUCGAUGAGUAGGGCGGGACACGUGGUAUCCUGUCUGAAUAUGGGGGGACCAUCCUCCAAGGCUAAAUACUCCUGACUGACCGAUAGUGAACCAGUACCGUGAGGGAAAGGCGAAAAGAACCCCGGCGAGGGGAGUGAAAAAGAACCUGAAACCGUGUACGUACAAGCAGUGGGAGCCUCUUUUAUGGGGUGACUGCGUACCUUUUGUAUAAUGGGUCAGCGACUUAUAUUCUGUAGCAAGGUUAACCGAAUAGGGGAGCCGAAGGGAAACCGAGUCUUAACUGGGCGUUAAGUUGCAGGGUAUAGACCCGAAACCCGGUGAUCUAGCCAUGGGCAGGUUGAAGGUUGGGUAACACUAACUGGAGGACCGAACCGACUAAUGUUGAAAAAUUAGCGGAUGACUUGUGGCUGGGGGUGAAAGGCCAAUCAAACCGGGAGAUAGCUGGUUCUCCCCGAAAGCUAUUUAGGUAGCGCCUCGUGAA